This 73-nucleotide transfer RNA is filed under the name Agrilus planipennis (emerald ash borer). It matches the Rfam family "tRNA". From Rfam's summary of the family: Transfer RNA (tRNA) molecules are approximately 80 nucleotides in length. Their secondary structure includes four short double-helical elements and three loops (D, anti-codon, and T loops). Lineage: Eukaryota; Metazoa; Arthropoda; Insecta; Coleoptera; Buprestidae. The record is from Rfam by way of RNAcentral.
CCUCUCGUAGCUCAGUGGUCAGAGCACUGGCGCGUAAAGCUAAAGGUCCCGGGUUCGAUUCCGGGCGAAGGGU